GACGAACGCUGGCGGCGUGCCUAACACAUGCAAGUCGAACGAACAGACCAGGAUUUUGCGCGGCGGUCGUGAGGGGCGGAGGGGAGAAGAACAUGUGUAUAACCUACCUAUAAGAGGGGUAAAAUUACGGGAAAGGGGAUAUUAUACCGGAGGAUAUAUUGAAGCAUGGUGUGCAAUGGUGAGAUUCGGUGUUUGGGGCAGUAAUAGAGGGUUCCGGGCCGCAUUGGCUGGUUGGUAAGGUAAAGGCUUAUCAAGGCGAGGAUGCGUAGCCGACCGGGGAGAGUGGUCGGCCACCCUGGAAGGGAGCCACGGUCCAGACUCCUGCGGGAGGCAGCAGUAGGGAAUGUUCCGCAAUGGGGGAGAGCCUGACGGAGCAACGCGGAGUGAGUGAUGAAGGUGUUCGGAUCGUAAAACUCUGUUAUUAGGGGAGAACAAAUGUGUAAGUAACUGUGCACGUAUUGACGGUAACUAAUCAGAAAGCCACGGCUAACUACGUG
Molecule: ribosomal RNA, 497 nt
Filed under: uncultured bacterium
Lineage: Bacteria
Description: partial 16S ribosomal RNA
Rfam family: Bacterial small subunit ribosomal RNA
Source: RNAcentral